UACGUAGGGGGCUAGCGUUAUCCGGAAUUACUGGGCGUAAAGGGUGCGUAGGUGGUUUCUUAAGUCAGAGGUGAAAGGCUACGGCUCAACCGUAGUAAGCCUUUGAAACUGGGAAACUUGAGUGCAGGAGAGGAGAGUGGAAUUCCUAGUGUAGCGGUGAAAUGCGUAGAUAUUAGGAGGAACACCAGUUGCGAAGGCGGCUCUCUGGACUGUAACUGACACUGAGGCACGAAAGCGUGGGUAGCAAACAGG
This 252-nucleotide ribosomal RNA is filed under the name uncultured bacterium. RNAcentral describes it as "partial 16S ribosomal RNA". It matches the Rfam family "Bacterial small subunit ribosomal RNA", at positions 524 to 776 of the family's 1533-position model. The record is from RNAcentral.